AGUGAACGCUGGCGGUAGGCCUAACACAUGCAAGUCGAACGGCAGCACAGUAAGAGCUUGCUCUUACGGGUGGCGAGUGGCGGACGGGUGAGGAAUACAUCGGAAUCUACUUUUUCGUGGGGGAUAACGUAGGGAAACUUACGCUAAUACCGCAUACGACCUACGGGUGAAAGCAGGGGAUCUUCGGACCUUGCGCGAUUGAAUGAGCCGAUGUCGGAUUAGCUAGUUGGCGGGGUAAAGGCCCACCAAGGCGACGACCCGUAGCUGGUCUGAGAGGAUGAUCAGCCACACUGGAACUGAGACACGGUCCAGACUCCUACGGGAGGCAGCAGUGGGGAAUACUGGACAAUGGGCGCAAGCCUGAUCCAGCCAUACCGCGUGGGUGAAGAAGGCCUUCGGGUUGUAAAGCCCUUUUGUUGGGAAAGAAAAGCAGCAGGUUAAUACCCCGCUGUUCUGACGGUACCCAAAGAAUAAGCACCGGCUAACUUCGUG
RNAcentral lists this ribosomal RNA (492 nucleotides) under uncultured bacterium. Its description in RNAcentral is "partial 16S ribosomal RNA". It matches the Rfam family "Bacterial small subunit ribosomal RNA", at positions 29 to 507 of the family's 1533-position model. The record is from RNAcentral.